Molecule: ribosomal RNA, 453 nt
Filed under: Triticum aestivum (bread wheat)
Lineage: Eukaryota; Viridiplantae; Streptophyta; Magnoliopsida; Poales; Poaceae
Description: partial small subunit ribosomal RNA
Source: RNAcentral
AUGGAAGUGUCGCGCCUCAAAAUGUUCAUGACGAACAAUGCAAGGCUACAAUCACUUGGACUACCUAUAUUAUCAACAUUGUUUGCAAACAAAGCUGUCAUUUCACCUGAAAAAAGAAAGCCCGAGCAUACUUGUGAUGAAUCUGAAGUUGAGUACCAUCCUAACGAGGAGGAUACCAGUGAAGGAGACUCGUCUGAUGAUAGUUUAAUAGAUGAGAGGGAAGUACUGCAAGACUUAAAGUCCACACCAUCUCCUAGCUCAAACUUGAAGGGGUUGAACGAGUGUAAGAAGACCAGUCAGGAAACAAAUAAGAAAACAUCUGCUAACAUGGCCCCUGGUGGAAUCAAGCCUCGGCCUCCUAAAAGAAUUCAUGCGGAGCUUCCAACAAAUGCGCGAGUCACAAGGUCAAACAAAAGACUAUUACUAGAUGCUGAUGCAAGUCCUCAAAGUUAA